CCUACGGGUGGCAGCAGUGAGGAAUAUUGGUCAAUGGACGAGAGUCUGAACCAGCCAAGUAGCGUGAAGGAUGACUGCCCUCUGGGUUGUAAACUUCUUUUAUAUGGGAAUAAAAUGUUCCACGUGUGGGAUUUUGUAUGUACCAUAUGAUUCAGGAUAGGCUAACUCUGUGUCAGCAGCCGCGGUAAUACGGAGGAUCCGAGAGUUAUACGGGUGUAUUGGGGUUAAAGGGAGCGUAGGUGGAUUUUUAAGUCAGUUGUGAAAGUUUGCGGCUCAACCGUAAAAUUGCAGUUGAAACUGGAAGUCUUGAGUACAGUAGAGGUAGGCGGAAUUCGUGGUGUAGCGGUGAAAUGCUUAGAUAUCACGAAGAACUCCGAUGGCGAAGGCAGUUCACUGGACUGCAACUGACACUGAGGCUCGAAAGUGUGGGGAUCAAACAGGAUUAGAUACCCCAGUAGUC
Molecule: ribosomal RNA, 460 nt
Filed under: uncultured bacterium
Lineage: Bacteria
Description: partial 16S ribosomal RNA
Rfam family: Bacterial small subunit ribosomal RNA
Source: RNAcentral